Molecule: transfer RNA, 72 nt
Filed under: Stegodyphus mimosarum
Lineage: Eukaryota; Metazoa; Arthropoda; Arachnida; Araneae; Eresidae
Rfam family: tRNA
About the family: Transfer RNA (tRNA) molecules are approximately 80 nucleotides in length. Their secondary structure includes four short double-helical elements and three loops (D, anti-codon, and T loops). Further hydrogen bonds mediate the characteristic L-shaped molecular structure. tRNAs have two regions of fundamental functional importance: the anti-codon, which is responsible for specific mRNA codon recognition, and the 3' end, to which the tRNAs corresponding amino acid is attached (by aminoacyl-tRNA synthetases). tRNAs cope with the degeneracy of the genetic code in two manners: having more than one tRNA (with a specific anti-codon) for a particular amino acid; and 'wobble' base-pairing, i.e. permitting non-standard base-pairing at the 3rd anti-codon position.
Source: Rfam by way of RNAcentral
GCCUUCGUGGUGUAAUGAUAGCACGCUCGACGCGUAUUCGGGAUGUCCAGGGUUCGAGUCCCGGCAAGGGCA